Molecule: non-coding RNA, 19 nt
Filed under: Arabidopsis thaliana (thale cress)
Lineage: Eukaryota; Viridiplantae; Streptophyta; Magnoliopsida; Brassicales; Brassicaceae
Source: RNAcentral
AGUAUGUAUGUGCGUAGUU